GAGUGCUUCUUCCCCGCCAGCGACAAGUGCUCCCAUUCCUCCUCUGAAGAAACCGCCUGAUCCUCCUCCUCCCCUCCCCCCCUUCUCCUGAGCUCCUCCUCCAAGGCCCCGCUACUGAAGGGGCAUCUCCCUCUUCGGGAGCAGCCUCUUCUCCCCUCGACAAAAGCCAAACUCGCACUGCUACCUCCUUGCAAGCGCAUAAAGUCUCACCCUUUUGGGCAAGCCUCCUCAGGCAAUCCUCUUCAGAUGACCCUUGGCGUUUCGACACGGAGCGCGGUCCUAGAUCCAGAGGAAGUGCAGAAUGCAAGGAGUCACUGACAACUCUACAAAUUUUUCGGCAAAGCACGCCCUUUGGAGUUCAUCAAAGGGGAGCCAUGGUUCCUCCGCGGACAUGCUCUCAACCUCUUCCCAAGGAGAGCAAACUUCCGACCUUUGAAGGAAAACGUAAAGUCUGCCCCCAUUCUGGAUCCAUUUUCCUAGCCUCCCCAUUGAACUGAUGUACCAUCGCGUUCUCCUCCAAAUCGCCGAUAGCAUUGGAUCUGCUGUCACCACCUCUGGAACUAGAGCGAGCAGGCUUGUUGGCCAUAAAAUCGAUCAAUGCAACCAAAGCAAGCCGCCGGAGCAAACGGCCGCCCCUGGCAAGGAUGCCGCAGGUGGGCAUUGGCUCUGUUACAGAGAUUGGCACGAACCGAGAACAUGGCCUACUGUACGGGCCCUGGUUCAAAGUCCAACACAAAUCCUGUUACAGUAGCCGUUUUGGCGCAACAUCGGUCCACUCCAGCGCCUCACCUCAGCCCACUGAACCCACUCCGGCCACCUCGCAGCCUGGUGAAUCCCGUACCAAACGGGCCUUUGCUUUCUCCUGUUUCCCGCCAUCCCGUUCCAUCUUCGGGUCACCCUUUCAAACCAGCAUUAAACCCCGUUGGUGCUUCCCCAGAUUGUAUUAGUUCUUCCCCUCCUUUCCAAUACUGCGUCAUUGGAGAUGCGCCCCUCCACCCUGACAUGCCACCGGUGCUAACGUCUUAGGAUGCCGCCUCCUCGACUGCCACACCCUCCUUUGUAAAGGGACGACAACCCCUCGCCCACCCUGCAAACAAGCACAACCCCGUUUCCUCACGCUUCUCUAGAUGUCAUCGCCUCGCCCCAUUUCCUCACCAUUAUCCCUCAACCCACAUUCUCUAGAUGGAGUAGUUUGGCCGGCUCAAGGUCGGUCUGGUGGAAUCAUCGUCGCUUGGAACUCCGGUACUCUCAAAGCUUCCCCUGUUAGUAUCUCACAACAAUCUUUGCACAUAAUGGUGGAAUAGAGAGGAUCAAGAACCCUAGUGGCAGGCACUUCCUCCUCCUCCUCCUCCACAACACUGAAGACGUCAGAGCUGUCUCACUGCAUAGGCUCAAAGAUCCUUUAAGUCUUCGCGGAUUCUAUGACCCUUGGGAACAUCCCAACCAAACGUUCCAACAUCCUGUACCCCUUCUGCAAGGAUAUUUUGUACUUGGCUUCUGCUGUGCAUGUCACUCACUGUAGUCAUAUCAGCAGAACAAUCAACACAAUAGCUCACAGCAUAAUUAAUUUUGCCAGACUGGCAAUUCUUUUA
This is a long non-coding RNA of Musa acuminata AAA Group (dessert banana), 1592 nucleotides long. RefSeq lists it as uncharacterized. Lineage: Eukaryota; Viridiplantae; Streptophyta; Magnoliopsida; Zingiberales; Musaceae. The transcript is spliced from 4 exons. The record is from RefSeq and is a predicted model, not a curated record.